ACUCCUACGGGAGGCAGCAGUGGGAAUAUUGCACAAUGGGGAAAGCCAUCGAUGCAGCCAUGCCGCGUGUGUGAAGAAGGCCAUUCGGGUUGGUAAAGACACUUUCAGUAGGGAGGAAGGUAGUGUAGUUAACACCUGCAUUAUUUGACGUUACCUACAGAAGAAGCACCGGCUAACUCCGUGCCAGCAGCCGCGGUAAUACGGAGGGUGCGAGCGUUAAUCGGAAUUACUGGGCGUAAAGCGCAUGCAGGCGGCCUGUUAAGUCAGAUGUGAAAGCCCGGGGCUU
This 286-nucleotide ribosomal RNA is filed under the name uncultured bacterium. RNAcentral describes it as "partial 16S ribosomal RNA". It matches the Rfam family "Bacterial small subunit ribosomal RNA", at positions 335 to 610 of the family's 1533-position model. The record is from RNAcentral.